Molecule: ribosomal RNA, 440 nt
Filed under: uncultured Garciella sp.
Lineage: Bacteria; Bacillati; Bacillota; Clostridia; Eubacteriales; Eubacteriaceae
Description: bacterial SSU rRNA
Rfam family: Bacterial small subunit ribosomal RNA
Source: RNAcentral
CCUACGGGGGGCUGCAGUGGGGAAUAUUGCGCAAUGGGGGGAACCCUGACGCAGCAACGCCGCGUGAGCGAUGAAGGCCUUCGGGUCGUAAAGCUCUGUCUUAAGGGAUGAUAAUGACAGUACCUUAAGAGGAAGCCCCGGCUAACUACGUGCCAGCAGCCGCGGUAAUACGUAGGGGGCGAGCGUUGUCCGGAAUUACUGGGUGUAAAGGGCCCGUAGGCGGUUAUUUAAGUCAGCUGUGAAAGUCCAGGGCUUAACCCUGGAAUUGCAAUUGAAACUGAAUAACUUGAGAUAAGGAGAGGAGAGCGGAAUUCCUAGUGUAGCGGUGAAAUGCGUAGAUAUUAGGAAGAACACCAGUGGCGAAGGCGGCUCUCUGGCCUUACCCUGACGCUGAGGGGCGAAAGCGUGGGUAGCGAACAGGCUUAGAUACCCCGGUAGUC